GACAGAGGAUGCAAGCGUUAUCCGGAAUGGUUGGGCGUAAAGCGUCUGUAGGUGGCUUUUUAAGUCUGCCGUCAAAUCCCAGGGCUUAACCCUGGACAGGCGGUGGAAACUACCAAGCUGGAGUACGGUAGGGGCAGGGGGAAUUUCCGGUGGAGCGGUGAAAUGCGUAGAUAUCAGGAGGAACACCUGUGGUGUAGACAGCUUACUGGACCAUUUCUGACGCUGAGACACGAAAGCGUGGGUAGCAAACAGG
This 253-nucleotide ribosomal RNA is filed under the name uncultured bacterium. Its description in RNAcentral is "partial 16S ribosomal RNA". It matches the Rfam family "Bacterial small subunit ribosomal RNA", at positions 524 to 776 of the family's 1533-position model. The record is from RNAcentral.